This 573-nucleotide ribosomal RNA is filed under the name Triticum aestivum (bread wheat). RNAcentral describes it as "partial small subunit ribosomal RNA". The record is from RNAcentral. Lineage: Eukaryota; Viridiplantae; Streptophyta; Magnoliopsida; Poales; Poaceae.
AUGGCGGCAGAGGGGGGCGGCGGCGGCGACGUGGGCAGGGCAGACGGCUGCAAGAAGACGCCGUGGACGCCGGAGGAGGACGAGGCGCUGCGGCGUGGGGUGCGCGAGCACGGGGCGAAGAGCUGGGACGCCAUCGCGCUCGCGCUGCCCGGGCGAGCCUCCAAGUCGUGCCGGCUGCGCUGGUGCCAGCAUCUGUCGCCGGAGCUGGACAGCCGCCCCUUCACGCCCGAGGAGGACGAGGAGAUCAUCAGGAGGCAGCGCGAGUUCGGCAACAAGUGGGCCACCAUCGCGCGCUACCUCACGGGACGCUCCGACAACUCCGUCAAGAACCGGUGGAACUCCACGCUGCGCAAGCAGCUGCUGGGCGCUCACGCCACGGAGGACGACGCCGCCGCCGCCGAAGACGACCAGGCCGUCCGGGUGUGCCUCCAGCUGUUCCCCAUGACGGCCGGGGUCUUGGAAGAGGAGGCAGAGGCCGCUGCGGCGGCAGAGGGCGAUGUAACCACCGACCUGACGCUGGGGUUGCCGGGGCUGGGCGAGGCCUCGGCCGUGGACCUGAGUCUGAGCCUCUGA